GGCGAGAUGGCAGAGCGGUCUAAUGCGAUAGACUAGAAAUCUAUUCUCUUCGGAGGCGUAGGUUCGAAUCCUACUCUCGUCG
RNAcentral lists this transfer RNA (82 nucleotides) under Pseudocercospora musae. Its description in RNAcentral is "Mycosphaerella musicola tRNA". It matches the Rfam family "tRNA". From Rfam's summary of the family: Transfer RNA (tRNA) molecules are approximately 80 nucleotides in length. Their secondary structure includes four short double-helical elements and three loops (D, anti-codon, and T loops). The record is from Rfam by way of RNAcentral. Lineage: Eukaryota; Fungi; Ascomycota; Dothideomycetes; Mycosphaerellales; Mycosphaerellaceae.